GCCAGCGUAGCUCAGUCGGCAGAGCGUCUCCAUGGUAAGGAGAAGGUCCGCGGUUCGAUUCCGCGCGCUGGCU
This 73-nucleotide transfer RNA is filed under the name Candidatus Azambacteria bacterium. RNAcentral describes it as "tRNA-Thr". It matches the Rfam family "tRNA". Rfam says of the family: Transfer RNA (tRNA) molecules are approximately 80 nucleotides in length. Their secondary structure includes four short double-helical elements and three loops (D, anti-codon, and T loops). The record is from RNAcentral. Lineage: Bacteria; Candidatus Azamiibacteriota.